GGGGAUGUAGCUCAAUGGUAGAGUGCUUGCUUUGCAUGCAUGAGGUCCUGGGUUCGAUCCCCAGCAUCUCCA
Molecule: transfer RNA, 72 nt
Filed under: Dasypus novemcinctus (nine-banded armadillo)
Lineage: Eukaryota; Metazoa; Chordata; Mammalia; Cingulata; Dasypodidae
Description: tRNA-Ala (TGC) (tRNA-Ala-TGC-4-1)
Rfam family: tRNA
About the family: Transfer RNA (tRNA) molecules are approximately 80 nucleotides in length. Their secondary structure includes four short double-helical elements and three loops (D, anti-codon, and T loops).
Source: RNAcentral